GAUGAAGAACGCAGCGAAAUGCGAUAAGUAAUGUGAAUUGCAGAAUUCAGUGAAUCAUCGAAUCUUUGAACGCACCUUGCACCCUUUGGACUGCUCCAAAGGGUAUGCUCGUUUGAGUGUCAUUGUACUCUCACACUCUCUGAUCCUUUGGAUUUGGGGAGCGGUGGACUUGGGUGCUUGCUGCUUCCUUAUGGCUCACCUGAAAUGCAUCAGUGCAUCUCUCGAUUGGACAUAGCACGGCGUGAUAAGUGUCUUCGCCGGCACCUCAUAUGAGGGUGGCCGAUCGGGAGCUCUGUGCUUUCAAACCGUCUUCGGACAACGCUGACAACUUGACCUCAAAUCGAGUAGGACUACCCGCUGAACUUAAGCAUAUCAAUAAGCGGAGGA
Molecule: unclassified non-coding RNA, 387 nt
Filed under: soil metagenome
Description: partial contains 5.8S ribosomal RNA, internal transcribed spacer 2, and large subunit ribosomal RNA
Rfam family: 5.8S ribosomal RNA (bases 1-122)
Source: RNAcentral